Molecule: RNase P RNA, 395 nt
Filed under: unidentified eubacterium clone PS#24
Lineage: Bacteria; Pseudomonadati; Pseudomonadota; Alphaproteobacteria
Description: partial ribonuclease P RNA
Rfam family: Bacterial RNase P class A
About the family: Ribonuclease P (RNase P) is a ubiquitous endoribonuclease, found in archaea, bacteria and eukarya as well as chloroplasts and mitochondria.
Source: RNAcentral
GAGGAAAGUCCGGGCUCCACAUAACCACGGUGCCGGGUAACGCCCGGCGGUCGCGCCUCGGGACUGCGCUAUUGCGUGCGAUAGGGGAAGCCAGACAAGCGCGGCAAGGGACAGUGCCACAGAGAGCAGACCGCCUAUGGCCGUCGUCCGUUUACGGAUACGUGGCCAGGCAAGGGUGAAAGGGUGCGGCAAGAGCGCACCGCGCGAUGGGUAACCGGAGCGGCAUGGCAAACCCCACCGGGAGCAAGACCGAAUAGGGACGGCGCGGACUCGCAAGGGUUCAGGGCGUGGUUGUCGCCCAGUCGUCCGGGUUGGUUGCUAGAGCCGGUCAGCAAUGGCCGGCGUAGAGGAAUGGUCGCCCAUCUGCUGAAAGGCAGUGGACAGAACCCGGCUUA